Molecule: ribosomal RNA, 253 nt
Filed under: uncultured bacterium
Lineage: Bacteria
Description: partial 16S ribosomal RNA
Rfam family: Bacterial small subunit ribosomal RNA
Source: RNAcentral
UACGUAGGGAGCAAGCGUUGUCCGGAAUCAUUGGGCGUAAAGAGCGCGUAGGCGGCCGUGUAAGUCCGCUCUGAAAGUCAAAGGCUCAACCUUUGAAAGCGGGUGGAUACUGCACGGCUAGAGUCCGGAAGAGGCGAGUGGAAUUCCUGGUGUAGCGGUGGAAUGCGCAGAUAUCAGGAGGAACGCCGGUGGUGUAGACGGCUCUCUGGACCAUUACUGACGCUGAGGUACGAAAGCGUGGGUAGCAAACAGG